Molecule: long non-coding RNA, 279 nt
Filed under: Elaeis guineensis (African oil palm)
Lineage: Eukaryota; Viridiplantae; Streptophyta; Magnoliopsida; Arecales; Arecaceae
Description: long non-coding RNA (EGUI_LNC041399)
Source: RNAcentral
GUUAUUACAACUACUUCUUGAUUAGUUCUUGAUUAGUUAAGGGAUCAAGAAGGGUUUCUUGAUUUUUCGUGAAUCAAAAAAGAAAGAUCAAAUAAGGGUUGGUUCAUUCAAGAAUUAAGAAAAAGAGAUCAAGAGUUGAUCCCUAUCUAGGUUUGGUUCGAGUCUAUUCAGACUUUGAGUUUAAGUGAGUUGUUUCAAGAGGAGCCAAUCCAGAUCAAUCCUGUGGAUAUCCAUAGAGGUAGGAUACUUAUACUGCUAAUUCAGAAUCUACUUAACCCC